UACCUGUACAUGAUCUAUUUCGGUAUAGGGGGGGAUUGCACGUAAGGACACCGGGUCAUAGGGCUUCAUGCACGGAGCCACGCAAUCCAUCUGGAGGACAUCGCAGCUUCCGGUAUAUGUUGUUAUACACGAAAAGCGUAUAUUCCUACCUGUUAAGAACCGCCAAAAUGGUGAAUUUUUGCGCUGUAAAAAAUUGUGGAAGUUAGGGUAAGCGUGAGAGACAUGUACCCAACCUCAGAAUUCCAAAAGUGAAGCGAAAUGAAGGUAAAGAGAAGCGAGAGCCGA
Amblyraja radiata (thorny skate) is the source of this 285-nucleotide long non-coding RNA. RefSeq lists it as uncharacterized. Lineage: Eukaryota; Metazoa; Chordata; Chondrichthyes; Rajiformes; Rajidae. The transcript has 3 exons. The record is from RefSeq and is a predicted model, not a curated record.